RNAcentral lists this ribosomal RNA (476 nucleotides) under uncultured organism. RNAcentral's name for it is "partial 16S ribosomal RNA". It matches the Rfam family "Bacterial small subunit ribosomal RNA", at positions 334 to 801 of the family's 1533-position model. The record is from RNAcentral.
CACUCCUGCGGGAGGCAGCAGUGGGGAAUUUUGGACAAUGGGGGCAACCCUGAUCCAGCAAUGCCGCGUGAGUGAAGAAGGCCUUCGGGUUGUAAAGCUCUUUUGUCAGGGAAGAAACGGUGGUGGCGAAUAACUACUACUAAUGACGGUACCUGAAGAAUAAGCACCGGCUAACUACGUGCCAGCAGCCGCGGUAAUACGUAGGGUGCAAGCGUUAAUCGGAAUUACUGGGCGUAAAGCGUGCGCAGGCGGUUGUGUAAGUCAGAUGUGAAAUCCCCGGGCUCAACCUGGGAAUUGCAUUUGAGACUGCACGGCUAGAGUGUGUCAGAGGGGGGUAGAAUUCCACGUGUAGCAGUGAAAUGCGUAGAUAUGUGGAGGAAUACCGAUGGCGAAGGCAGCCCCCUGGGAUAACACUGACGCUCAUGCACGAAAGCGUGGGGAGCAAACAGGAUUAGAUACCCCUGUAGUCCCAUGAU